UACGAAGGGGGCUAGCGUUGUUCGGAUUUACUGGGCGUAAAGCGCGUGUAGGCGGGUUUUUAAGUUGGGGGUGAAAGCCUGGAGCUCAACUCCAGAACUGCCUUUAAGACUGGACCGCUUGAGCACGUGAGAGGCGAGUGGAAUUGCGAGUGUAGAGGUGAAAUUCGUAGAUAUUCGGAAGAACACCAGUGGCGAAGGCGGCUCACUGGACUGGUAUUGACGCUGAGGUGCGAAAGCGUGGGGAGCAAACAGG
RNAcentral lists this ribosomal RNA (253 nucleotides) under uncultured bacterium. Its description in RNAcentral is "partial 16S ribosomal RNA". It matches the Rfam family "Bacterial small subunit ribosomal RNA", at positions 524 to 776 of the family's 1533-position model. The record is from RNAcentral.